This 451-nucleotide ribosomal RNA is filed under the name Salmonella enterica subsp. enterica serovar Enteritidis. RNAcentral's name for it is "partial 23S ribosomal RNA". It matches the Rfam family "Bacterial large subunit ribosomal RNA", at positions 161 to 590 of the family's 2925-position model. The record is from RNAcentral. Lineage: Bacteria; Pseudomonadati; Pseudomonadota; Gammaproteobacteria; Enterobacterales; Enterobacteriaceae.
AAUCCAUAGGUUAAUGAGGCGAACCGGGGGAACUGAAACAUCUAAGUACCCCGAGGAAAAGAAAUCAACCGAGAUUCCCCCAGUAGCGGCGAGCGAACGGGGAGGAGCCCAGAGCCUGAAUCAGCAUGUGUGUUAGUGGAAGCGUCUGGAAAGGCGCGCGAUACAGGGUGACAGCCCCGUACACAAAAGCGCAUGUGCUGUGAGCUCGAUGAGUAGGGCGGGACACGUGGUAUCCUGUCUGAAUAUGGGGGGACCAUCCUCCAAGGCUAAAUACUCCUGACUGACCGAUAGUGAACCAGUACCGUGAGGGAAAGGCGAAAAGAACCCCGGCGAGGGGAGUGAAAAAGAACCUGAAACCGUGUACGUACAAGCAGUGGGAGCCCCACCACCAAAGCAUUUGCUGUACCGCGUUGACGGAGCGAAGCGACGUCAAACCGAUAAAACAGCAGUG